GUUGGGNNNAGUUGUGGGGUCCAUUCCACGGAUUCCGUGACGCAGCUAACGCAUUAAGUUCCCCGCCUGGGGAGUACGGCCGCAAGGCUAAAACUCAAAGGAAUUGACGGGGACCCGCACAAGCGGCGGAGCAUGCGGAUUAAUUCGAUGCAACGCGAAGAACCUUACCAAGGCUUGACAUAUAGAGGAAACGGCUGGAAACAGUCGCCCCGCAAGGUCUCUAUACAGGUGGUGCAUGGUUGUCGUCAGCUCGUGUCGUGAGAUGUUGGGUUAAGUCCCGCAACGAGCGCAACCCUCGUUCUAUGUUGCCAGCACGUAAUGGUGGGAACUCAUGGGAUACUGCCGGGGUCAACUCGGAGGAAGGUGGGGAUGACGUCAAAUCAUCAUGCCCCUUAUGUCUUGGGCUUCACGCAUGCUACAAUGGCCGGUACAAAGGGCUGCAAUACCGUGAGGUGGAGCGAAUCCCAAAAAGCCGGUCCCAGUUCGGAUUGAGGUCUGCAACUCGACCUCAUGAAGUCGGAGUCGCUAGUAAUCGCAGAUCAGCAACGCUGCGGUGAAUACGUUCCCGGGUCUUGUACACACCGCCCGUCAAGUCAUGAAAGUCGGUAACACCUGAAGCCGGUGGCCCAACCCUUGUGGAGGGAGCCGUCGAAGGUGGGAUCGGUAAUUAGGACUAAGUCGUAACAAGGUAACCA
This 695-nucleotide ribosomal RNA is filed under the name Microbacterium arborescens. RNAcentral describes it as "bacterial SSU rRNA". It matches the Rfam family "Bacterial small subunit ribosomal RNA", at positions 808 to 1502 of the family's 1533-position model. Lineage: Bacteria; Bacillati; Actinomycetota; Actinomycetes; Micrococcales; Microbacteriaceae. The record is from RNAcentral.